GGAUAACCUGCCCUUAGGUCUGGCAUAACCCCGGGAAACUGGGGAUAAUUCCGGAUAGACCAUGGAUGCUGGAAUGCACCGUGGUCCAAAGCUUUUGUGCCUAAGGAUGGGUCUGCGGUCUAUCAGGUCGUAGUGGGUGUAAAGUACCUACUAGCCUACGACGGAUACGGGUUGUGAGAGCAAGAGCCCGGAGAUGGAUUCUGAGACAUGAAUCCAGGCCCUACGGGGCGCAGCGGGCGCGAAAACUUUACACUGCGGGAAACCGCGAUAAGGGAACACCGAGUGCCAGCAUCCUAUGUUGGCUGUCCACAUGUGUAAAUAACAUGUGUUAGCAAGGGCCGGGCAAGACCGGUGCCAGCCGCCGCGGUAACACCGGCGGCCCGAGUGGUGGCCACUAUUAUUGGGUCUAAAGGGUCCGUAGCCGGUUUGGUCAGUCUUCCGGGAAAUCUGACGGCUUAACCGUUAGGCUUCCGGGGGAUACUGCCAGACUUGGGACCGGGAGAGGUAAGAGGUACUACGGGGGUAGGAGUGAAAUCUUGUAAUCCUUGUGGGACCACCAGUGGCGAAGGCGUCUUACCAGAACGGCUUCGACAGUGAGGGACGAAAGCUGG
This 611-nucleotide ribosomal RNA is filed under the name Methanomethylovorans sp. enrichment culture clone A2-42. Its description in RNAcentral is "bacterial SSU rRNA". It matches the Rfam family "Archaeal small subunit ribosomal RNA", at positions 102 to 714 of the family's 1478-position model. The record is from RNAcentral. Lineage: Archaea; Methanobacteriati; Methanobacteriota; Methanomicrobia; Methanosarcinales; Methanosarcinaceae.